CAUGCCGCGUGUGUGAAGAAGGCUUUCGGGUUGUAAAGCACUUUCAGCGAGGAGGAAAGCAGCGGUUAAUACCUGUCUGUUUUGACGUUACUCGCAGAAGAAGCACCGGCUAAUUUCGUGCCAGCCACCUCGGUGACUGAGCGGGCUGGCAAGGCGCAUA
RNAcentral lists this ribosomal RNA (160 nucleotides) under uncultured bacterium. RNAcentral describes it as "partial 16S ribosomal RNA". It matches the Rfam family "Bacterial small subunit ribosomal RNA", at positions 393 to 539 of the family's 1533-position model. The record is from RNAcentral.